Molecule: ribosomal RNA, 1658 nt
Filed under: Bannoa sp.
Lineage: Eukaryota; Fungi; Basidiomycota; Cystobasidiomycetes; Erythrobasidiales; Erythrobasidiaceae
Description: SSU rRNA
Rfam family: Eukaryotic small subunit ribosomal RNA
Source: RNAcentral
AAAGAUUAAGCCAUGCAUGUUCUAAGUAUAAACAAAUCUAUACUGUGAAACUGCGAAUGGCUCAUUAAAUCAGUUAUAGUUUAUUUGAUGGUACCUUACUACAUGGAUAACUGUGGUAAUUCUAGAGCUAAUACAUGCUGAAAAGCCCCGACUUCUGGAAGGGGUGUAUUUAUUAGAUAAAAAACCAAUGGCGGGCAACCGUCUUGCGUUGAUUCAUGAUAACUUCUCGAAUCGCAUGGCCUUGCGCCGGCGAUGCUUCAUUCAAAUAUCUGCCCUAUCAACUUUCGAUGGUAGGAUAGAGGCCUACCAUGGUGAUGACGGGUAACGGGGAAUAAGGGUUCGAUUCCGGAGAGAGGGCCUGAGAAACGGCCCUCAGUCCUAAGGGACGCAGCAGGCGCGCAAAUUAUCCCAUCCCGACACGGGGAGAUAGUGACAAUAAAUAACAAUAUAGGGCUCUUUUGGGUCUUAUAAUUGGAAUGAGUACAAUUUAAAUCCCUUAACGAGGAUCAAUUGGAGGGCAAGUCUGGUGCCAGCAGCCGCGGUAAUUCCAGCUCCAAUAGCGUAUAUUAAAGUUGUUGCCGUUAAAAAGCUCGUAGUCGAACUUCGGCCUUUGCUGCCCGGUCCGCCUUUUGGGGUGUGUACUGGAGCAGUGGAGGCUUACCUCGUGGUGAACAAUCAUGCCCUUUACUGGGUGUGGUUGGGAACCAUGAUUUUUACUUUGAAAAAAUUAGAGUGUUCAAAGCAGGCUCACGCCUGAAUACAUUAGCAUGGAAUAAUAAAAUAGGACGUGCGGUUCUAUUUUGUUGGUUUCUAGGAUCGCCGUAAUGAUUAAUAGGGAUAGUUGGGGGCAUUCGUAUUCAAUUGCUAGAGGUGAAAUUCUUGGAUUUAUUGAAGACGAACUACUGCGAAAGCAUUUGCCAAGGAUGUUUUCAUUGAUCAAGAACGAAGGUUAGGGGAUCGAAAACGAUCAGAUACCGUUGUAGUCUUAACAGUAAACGAUGCCGACUAGGGAUCGGACGAGGAUUUUUUAUGACUCGUUCGGCACCUGAAGAGAAAUCUUUAAGUCUAGGUUCGGGGGGGAGUAUGGUCGCAAGGCUGAAACUUAAAGGAAUUGACGGAAGGGCACCACCAUGGUGUGGAGCCUGCGGCUUAAUUUGACUCAACACGGGGAAACUCACCAGGUCCAGACACGACAAGGAUUGACAGAUUGAUAGCUCUUUCUUGAUUUCGUGGUUGGUGGUGCAUGGCCGUUCUUAGUUGGUGGAGUGAUUUGUCUGGUUAAUUCCGAUAACGAACGAGACCUUAACCUGCUAAAUAGCCCGGCCGACUUUGGUUGGUCGCUGGCUUCUUAGAGGGACUAUCAGCGUUUAGCUGAUGGAAGUUUGAGGCAAUAACAGGUCUGUGAUGCCCUUGACAUCUAGGGGUAGAUAAGAGUUAGUCUCUUAGUGGGUGUGAAUACACUUGCAACACUUUCAACAUGCUGGAAACUCCUUAUAGAUUGCAAUACCAAGCAGUACUGACGCAAGUCUACUGUGGCGGCGCAAGCUGGGUAAGGUCAUAAUUUGCAAUACUUGACAUCAGCAGCCAACAUCCUUUGGGAUUAUGGUUCAGAGGCCAGACGAAAGUGGGUACUAGAAGUAUCCUAAGAUAAUGGUUCA